CCUACGGGAGGCAGCAGUGAGGAAUAUUGGUCAAUGGACGGAAGUCUGAACCAGCCAUGCCGCGUGCAGGAAGACGGCUCUAUGAGUUGUAAACCUCUUUUGCCGGGGAGCAACGGGCGUCACGUGUGGCGCCACUGAGAGUACCCGGAGAAAAAGCAUCGGCUAACUCCGUGCCAGCAGCCGCGGUAAUCCGGAGGAUGCGAGCGUUAUCCGGAUUUAUUGGGUUUAAAGGGUGCGUAGGCGGAGCGUUAAGUCAGUGGUAAAAUUGAGGGGCUCAACCCCUUCCCGCCAUUGAAACUGGCGUUCUUGAGUGGAAGAGAAGUAUGCGGAAUGCGUGGUGUAGCGGUGAAAUGCAUAGAUAUCACGCAGAACCCCGAUUGCGAAGGCAGCAUGCCGGCUUCCGACUGACGCUGAAGCACGAAAGCGUGGGGAUCGAACAGGAUUAGAUACCCGAGUAGUC
RNAcentral lists this ribosomal RNA (460 nucleotides) under uncultured bacterium. RNAcentral describes it as "partial 16S ribosomal RNA". It matches the Rfam family "Bacterial small subunit ribosomal RNA", at positions 338 to 795 of the family's 1533-position model. The record is from RNAcentral.